This 286-nucleotide unclassified non-coding RNA is filed under the name Chaetomiaceae sp. Its description in RNAcentral is "partial contains 5.8S ribosomal RNA, internal transcribed spacer 2, and large subunit ribosomal RNA". The stretch from base 1 to 71 matches the Rfam family "5.8S ribosomal RNA", at positions 84 to 154 of the family's 154-position model. The record is from RNAcentral. Lineage: Eukaryota; Fungi; Ascomycota; Sordariomycetes; Sordariales; Chaetomiaceae.
GUGAAUCAUCGAAUCUUUGAACGCACAUUGCGCCCGCCAGUAUUCUGGCGGGCAUGCCUGUUCGAGCGUCAUUUCAACCAUCAAGCCCCCGGCUUGUGUUGGGGACCUGCGGCUGCCGCAGGCCCUGAAAACCAGUGGCGGGCUCGCUAGUCACUCCGAGCGUAGUAAUACAUCUCGCUCAGGGCGUGCUGCGGGUUCCGGCCGUUAAAAAGCCUUAUUUACCCAAGGUUGACCUCGGAUCAGGUAGGAAGACCCGCUGAACUUAAGCAUAUCAAUAAGCGGAGGA